This 5200-nucleotide long non-coding RNA is filed under the name Spirodela polyrhiza (greater duckweed). RNAcentral describes it as "long non-coding RNA (SPOL_LNC001644)". The record is from RNAcentral. Lineage: Eukaryota; Viridiplantae; Streptophyta; Magnoliopsida; Alismatales; Araceae.
AAAAGUAGGUGGCAGCUAGGUGACAGGCAGCGGAGGCUUCAGGGUUGCAAGUACGAUUUCUUCAUCUAUUUUCUCUCCUUUCUUAGUUCCUUACACUCCCUUUUAUUUUGUAAAAGAAGAGUGUCAGUUAAUGGAUGUUUUGGAUGCUUUUCAUUGAUUUCCUAGAGAGUUGUUGAUCUCUAUCUCGGAUUUUGCAUGUCUCGGCAGUGACACCAAGGCAAAAGAAACGAGAUCUGUAUUAACUUGUCCAUUUUCUUUCAACUCUAUAAUUUUUCACUGAUACCUUAUCUUCUUACGAAUCCAUUGAAUGCUUUUUCUCCUCCAAAGAUCGUGUUUUGAUGAUUUGGUGACAGAAUCAUCAAGCAUAGCUUCGGAAAUCGUUUUUAGGAUAAACAAGGAAGUUAUGCAUCAAGUCAUAUAGUUUCUUCUAAGUUUAUGAUUUUUAUCAAGAACCUGACUUCCUUACGAAUCCAAUGAAUGUUUUUUUUCUUCUGAAUAUCGUGUUUUGGUGACUUGGUGAUAGAAUCAUCAAGCACAUCAUUAUAAAUCGUUUUCUGGAUUCGUUUUUUCGACCUUUCUAUAGACCGAAACUGAUUUUGUGAGUUGCACAAGGAUUAAGUCAUUAUCUUUUGAACAGUCUUAGUUUAAUUAGUUUUGUACCUUUGUUAAUUUUUUCGUGAUUUUAUAAGGUAUUUGAGAUAGGUUUUUGUAUUUUACAAGACUCGUUUUCUGUUUUUUUCUUUCUUUCUGACCUUCCCAUGGUUCAAAUCUGAUUUCAUGAGGGAAACAUGAAUUUAGGUUAAAAAUAUUUUGGGAGAAUUUAGCUUAGUUAGUUUCCCACGUUCUGUUAUUUUUUCAUAAUUUUAUAAUGUGUUUAGUAUAAGCUUUUAAAUUUUACUAUAACUGUUUUCUUUGUUUGUUUGGUUCUAGAUUUCUGAUUUUUCAUUGAUAGUAAUUUCAUUCCUCAGUCAGUGACACCUUGUAUUACAAGAUAAUUUUUAAAAGAAUUGCCUUAUAGUUAGUUAUCUGUACUUUUAGAUUUUUUUACAUAGUUUUUAGAGUUAGAAACAUUAGGAGUUCAUAAUUUACAAAAAAAAACAAGAUCUCUAUCUACUUUUCAUUUUUUUUACAAUGCUUUAUAUUUAGAUGAUAUUCUAACUUUCUAAUUUCCCUGAGGACCGACUUGAAAUCCCUGUAAUUAAAGAAAAAUUUAUUUUGGUUUUCAGUUUAUAAAUAUUAAAUUUAAGUGUCUAAAUUAACGACGACUUUAGCCACAUCAAGGAUGCCAUCAUGCACACACACAGAUGGACCCACACACAGAUGGUACUUAUCAGGGGAAACAACCCCAUUCUAUUCCAGUUUGGAUUAGUUUCCUGAGUCUACUAGAACACCUAUUUAUGCCUAAGGCUCUUGAGUCCCUGGCGAAUGCGGUGGGGACAUUUAUACGCAUUGACCCAUAUGUUAAAGUGUUCAACCGCCCUAGAUAUACACGUGUAUGUGUGGAGGUAGACCUCCUAGCCCCCCUUUAGUGCAUGAUAGUAGUGCAGAAUAGGGACAAGAUGAUCUACCAAGUGGUGGUACACGAGAGAUUACCUCACUAUUACACUUGUUAUACGAUUCUAGGGCAUACCAUCAGCACUUGUUGCCAUAAGGCAACCUCAUUACCUUCAGAGGCUACACCCAUCUAUCUUGCACCCCUCUCAUAUGAUGAUUUCAUUAUUGAGUUGGGGAAGACUGCACAUGGUUGUCGCCACACCCAAAGCUCGUAAGCUUCCCCCGACCACCACUAGUUCAAGCUAGUGCUCCAUCGACUAACCCACCCAAGAUGACAGCCCCAUCUACCUUGAUGUCACAUACUGCCCCCCAAGCAUCCACCCCCACCCACAAGGAAAUGAAGGCACUGGUAGUCCAAGUACACCCCAAACAAGUAGGUAAGGGGAAGACAGCCCAAAAGUCAAAUACGCUUGAGGCUUUGGGCACAUUGAUUGAGGAUGAUUGUAUUCCUACUGUGGGGGAUGACCAUGUUCCUAUCGUAGGGAAUGAUUGUAGCUCAUUAGAGCAAUGCUGCCCCAAAAGGGAUCCCUCACUACUACACCUAGCUCUUCCUCACACAGCAAACCCCCAUCACCCACCACAUCCCCCUCCUUAGUUAGCACCCGUUCAUCUUGCAGAUCACCCACUCACCUCCCAUUACCCAUCAGUCCCCUGCCACCUAGGUCUCCACCAUCCCACACCGCACCCCGCACACCCUCCCACCUCCUUUCAUCACCUGAUAGGGUCUCCACUAGGAUCCCAUCAUAUAUGUUAGACCCCCCUUCCCCUUUCUCCUCUGAUCUCGAUUCUCUAUCACCCCACCCUCUGGAUCCUCCUACUAGUACUCUAGAUAGACCAAUCAGGGGAGAAUGCUUGAAGAAUCAUCAAGUAAUCUCCCUUUCAUCCUCUAACAUGGAGGACACUAGUGGGUGAUCUACAUUGAGUGCUGAGGAUUCUGGCUCUGAGUCUCCAUCCGAUUACCAAGUUGAGGGCACUAACCUUGAGCGAGGGUAUGAGAUGGAGGCGGUUGAUGGAUCGUCACGAUGACGUUCUCCAUAUGUCAUGAAAUCUUGAGCUCGUGGCAAUAGCCUCAAACACACAUGAUACCUAGCCUUAUUUGGAACUAUUGGGGGCUAAGCAACCCCAAAACAUAGUCCCAUAUCAUUGAACUCAUCAAUAAACACCGACUAGGAUUAUUGGGCUUAUUGAACCUAUGAUACCACCAAACCAUAUUCAUUCAUUAUUUAAACAUCUAAGCAUGGAUUAUUUCUACUUUUACUUUAUGAACCAUAUCUAGUUGGUCUAGUAGAGAUCUUAUUCUCUACAACUACUAGUUGAGGGGACAUAUCACAUUACAAUGAGGAUAUUAAGCUUUGGCCAAGAGCUCACAUUCUUGGUGGUUUAUGCUUCGUAUAAACACUAAGAACAUGAGACUCUUUGGGACGACCUAAUAUGAUAGACGAGGGAUCAUCUUGUCCUAGUUGACUCUCCUUAGCUCUUAGCUAGAGAUUUCAACUAUGUACGUAGAGUCAUUGAAUGUCAAGGAAGGUGAGUCCCCAGGGCCUGUCACAUAGAGACAUUCAAUGACUUCAUCUUUCAUGUGGCCCUCAUCGAGUCACCUACAUCAGGUGAGGUUUGGACGUGGUACAAUGAAAGACAAAGAGGCACACAAAUAUAUGAGCACAUUAAUCAUUGCUUCACUAUUAUCAUUGUACUCGUGCAAUGCCCCAUAUUAGUCACACUCCUACCUUGAUAUCGAUUUGAUCACAUGCCGAUCCUCAUUUUUCUUGACUUGAGUACUAGUACCCCUAGACCUCCUUUCAAGUUUUAAAACAUGUGGACUCAACAUGAAGACUUCUAGAGUUUGGGAUGGAGCCACUAGCUAGGGGACAUCUUUGACUCUCCUAUGGAGAACUUCAGUUACAAAUUGAGGGAUCUCAAAUUCCACCUUAAAUGGUGGAACAUGUAUGUAUAUAGAAAUAUUCACACCUAAGUGGAAGAGCUCAAAGAGGAGCUAGUAAGGGUCGAGAGGCAGUUGCAAGCUCAAUGGACUCACACUACUUGAGAAAGAUGAGUUAGAGUGAGUGAGUAGUUAGAGGAGGUUGCAUGAUGACAUGAGAUAUACUAUCUCCAAAAAUCACGCAUCCAGUGAUUGUGUGAGGGGGAUAAAAACACACAUUUCUUCCAUGCCUCAAUUGCUCACCGAUUCUAGUCUAACUAACUAUAUAUCUCUUCUAGAGGUGUAUGACUGGGACAAAUCUCAUAUGUAGGAGGCCAAACUUGUGUACUUUCAUACCCUUCUUGCCUCCCAACCAAUUGAGAUUUUAGAGGAUAUACUCUCAUUGAUUUCAUCAUUAGUCACCCCACAUGAGAUUUCAGCUAUUAUGAUCAUACCUACUAGAGAGGAAAUCUGAGAGGUAGUCUUCUCGAUGAGUAGGAGCUGAGCACUUAGGCCCAAUGGUUUUCCAAUUGACUUCUACAUGGCAUGUUGGGAUAUCGUCAUAAUAGACUUGGUUCAUGCCAUCAAGGAGUUCUUCUACUGCAAAGUCUUGCCACGGAAUUAAAAAGCCACCUUUGUACCAAAGAUGUCCAACCUAAUCUCCUUUAGAGACUUUCAGCCCAUCAAUCUCUGUAAUGUGUGUGACGUGAAUUAAUUGUUGUAUAAUAAAUCAUGUAAAUUUAAAAUUUAUAAAAUCAGAAAAAAACAAUUCUUGGAAUUUUAAAUAUUUAUCAAAAUGAAUAAAUCAGUUAUAAAUUGAUAAAACUUUCAAAAAUAGUGAGAAAUUUCUAAGUCGAUUAUAUGGAUGUAAUAUAAUAUUAAGUAAUAUUUUAUAAUUUUUCUUAAAGAAUACAAUUUUUUUAUGAUUUUUUAAUUGAAUGAUAAAUAUAAUAUAUUUAAGAAAUGCGAAAAGAAAAUAAGACUAUGACGUUAGGUGACGUCAGUGCCUGAAGAACACGAAUUGGGUAGAAACAAAGUUCCGACCUAUGAUUCUUUUGUAAGCGAUUACCCUCAAAUUAGUUGAUUAAAUUUAGUUUUGUAAAAGCCCGAAGAAUCAUAACUCAAGGAUGGAAGAUAUUGAAGGUUGAAAUCGUGCCAAAGAUCAUUAAUUUAGAUGAAAAUAAAGUUUUAAAUAGGGAAAAUAGAGUUCUGACUUCGCGGCAGUAAUCACCAAAAUUCUACAUGUUUAGAAAAGAAAUUGUACAAUGUCUAUGGCCUCGAAGGCUCUCUUUGGACAAAGAUAAUGUGGGUGAUCUCUAGAUCUUCUUUUGAAGCCCAAAAAUUGGUGGAAUGUGUUGUCAAAUCAUUUCUGACAGCUAUCACCUGGCAGAAUGGAAAAAUGAUGACUUGCGGCCCUUUGGCGACUGUCACUCGACAGAGGUAUGCUGGAUGGAGGUGGGGCACGUCUCAUGGGCUUUGUCCUCAAGUUAGCAUAGCAGGAGGAGGCCCGUUAUUACAUCUAGUAUGUUCUUAGGAGGUGGCGACUCAUCUCCCAAUGGAUCGUCCUCUUCUCGGCAACGGCUUGUUCGUCGAUCAAUUAGAGAUGAUUUGUUCGUUGAGUUCACGAUGUUUUGUCUAAAAUCCUACACCAAUUUCGGCCACGAUGCUCUGUGAAUUGCAUUAACUAAGUUUUUGCUGAAUUUUUGACGAUUUUUGUAGCUUAAUCAG